AGUGGUGGUCGCGAAAGACGAGGAAAUGCUCAUGGAUCUUGGAAGGAUCCGACGCCCUACCGGCAUCUCGCUCGGGCUGCGGUCUGUUUAACAGAUUUGUUUCAGCGUCAUCGGGAGGGUCUCGACCUUCCCGAUGACGCGAAGUCGAUCAUUGCUUUUUCGCCGACACGGUCUUGGCGGCCUGAUCAAUGGUAUCGGCGAUGGCCGCAGGCUGCGUCAUGAAC
This 224-nucleotide small RNA is filed under the name Sinorhizobium meliloti 2011. RNAcentral's name for it is "putative ncRNA". Lineage: Bacteria; Pseudomonadati; Pseudomonadota; Alphaproteobacteria; Hyphomicrobiales; Rhizobiaceae. The record is from RNAcentral.